UAAGCAUAUCAAUAAGCGGAGGAAAAGAAACUAACAAGGAUUCCCCUAGUAGCGGCGAGCGAAGCGGGAAGAGCUCAAAUUUAUAAUCUGGCACCUUCGGUGUCCGAGUUGUAAUCUCUAGAAGUGUUUUCCGCGUUGGACCGCACACAAGUCUGUUGGAAUACAGCGGCAUAGUGGUGAAACCCCCGUAUAUGGUGCGGACGCCCAGCGCUUUGUGAUACACUUUCAAUGAGUCGAGUUGUUUGGGAAUGCAGCUCAAAUUGGGUGGUAAAUUCCAUCUAAAGCUAAAUAUUGGCGAGAGACCGAUAGCGAACAAGUACCGUGAGGGAAAGAUGAAAAGCACUUUGGAAAGAGAGUUAACAGUACGUGAAAUUGUUGGAAGGGAAACGCUUGAAGUCAGACUUGCUUGCCGGAGCUUGCUUCGGUUUGCAGGCCAGCAUCAGUUUUCCGGGGUGGAUAAUGACGGUUUGAAGGUAGCAGUCUCGGCUGUGUUAUAGCUUUCCGUUGGAUACGCCCUGGGGGACUGAGGAACGCAGCGUGCUUUUUGCGAAAGACUCGUCUUUUUCACGCUUAGGAUGCUGGUGGAAUGGCUUUAAACGACCCGUCUUGAAACACGGACCAAGGAGUCUAACAUGCUCGCGAGUAUUUGGGUGUCAAACCCGGAUGCGCAAUGAAAGUGAAUGUAGGUGGGAACCGCAAGGUGCACCAUCGACCGAUCUGGAUUUUUUAAGAUGGAUUUGAGUAAGAGCGCGUAUGUUGGGACCCGAAAGAUGGUGAACUAUGCCUGAAUAGGGCGAAGCCAGAGGAAACUCUGGUGGAGGCUCGUAGCGGUUCUGACGUGCAAAUCGAUCGUCAAAUUUGGGUAUA
This 867-nucleotide ribosomal RNA is filed under the name Rhodotorula diobovata. RNAcentral's name for it is "LSU rRNA". It matches the Rfam family "Eukaryotic large subunit ribosomal RNA", at positions 35 to 919 of the family's 3401-position model. The record is from RNAcentral. Lineage: Eukaryota; Fungi; Basidiomycota; Microbotryomycetes; Sporidiobolales; Sporidiobolaceae.